RNAcentral lists this unclassified non-coding RNA (308 nucleotides) under plant metagenome. Its description in RNAcentral is "partial contains 5.8S ribosomal RNA, internal transcribed spacer 2, and large subunit ribosomal RNA". The stretch from base 1 to 105 matches the Rfam family "5.8S ribosomal RNA", at positions 50 to 154 of the family's 154-position model. The record is from RNAcentral.
GAAAUGCGAUAAGUAGUGUGAAUUGCAGAAUUCAGUGAAUCAUCGAAUCUUUGAACGCACAUUGCGCCCUUUGGUAUUCCAAAGGGCAUGCCUGUUCGAGCGUCAUUUGUACCCUCAAGCUUUGCUUGGUGUUGGGCGUCUUGUCUCUAUCUUUGCUGGAGACUCGCCUUAAAGUAAUUGGCAGCCGGCCUACUGGUUUCGGAGCGCAGCACAAGUCGCACUCUCUAUCAGCAAAGGUCUAGCAUCCAUUAAGCCUUUUUUUCAACUUUUGACCUCGGAUCAGGUAGGGAUACCCGCUGAACUUAAGC